Long non-coding RNA from Taeniopygia guttata (zebra finch), 9673 nucleotides. RefSeq lists it as uncharacterized. The record is from RefSeq and is a predicted model, not a curated record. Lineage: Eukaryota; Metazoa; Chordata; Aves; Passeriformes; Estrildidae.
UUUUUAAAAAUAUCCUUUUCAGCUUUAAAAUAGAAGAAGACUUAUGAUUUGAAGAAUGGUUUCCUUUUGCAGCCACUCUGACUCUUCUCAAAGCAACAUUGGACAUCUAGAAGAAACCAGACUUAUAGGACAGGCAUCCUGCCUCUUAGAAGAGAACAGAAGAUUUCCUCCUGAUUUAACAAUGCUAAAGUUUAUCCUGCCUAAUGUAUUUACUCCGUAAAGAGAAAACUCACUUGAACAAAAUAUUUUAUUUCUUAUUUGGUCUUAAACCCACAAAGUUUAUUACUGGAGCCUUAUUACUUUCCCUGUUGUACUGGAAAGGCUGCUCUCUCUGCUGAAGGCUAUGCUCUCCUGAAAUCCUCAACCCUGUAAUGAAUCUGGCAUCUGAUAAGGCACAGAAACCCUCCUGUCAACUUUAAGACAAGGCAGAUGGGACUCCUUACAAUCAAGCAAAGGAGAGCCCCCUCUUUAGCAUGAGUUCAUUGAAUUUGACAUCUCCAGAUCUAAAGAGUCUAGUUGACAGGGUCUAAUUUUCUUGGUGGCGGAUCCAAAUUCUCUCAGUUGAUGCCUUGCAAAACUGUAAGAAAGCACAAGCAUGGCCACUUUUAAGAAGGGUGUUGCAAAAUGUCUCUCCUUUUUAUAAACUUUUACAACUGACUGAUUUUAUAUUCUAGCUGAGGGGCAGCAAAAAAGUAGUUUUUUCCCUUUCUUACUGGGAUGCUGAAUGUUUCAUUCUGUGGAUAGCUCUGACACAAUAGAGAUGAGCAUCAGAUAAAUAAAACCAAGGACAUAACACUGGGCUGAAAAUAGAAGACUAAUUUAGCAAAGUGUAUUAUUAGAGUUGCCAUUUUUGUAGCUGACCUCUUUGGAGAAAAACAAUACUCUUUACAUCUGCACAGGCUUAAAGAUAAAUACCCCUUUUUAAUUAAUUAAAUUUAAUUAAAUCCAGGACCUUUGUCAGGGUAUGCCAGUAAAUGAGAAUAAAUCCUACUUUUAAUAAUGAAGGGUGCUCCUAAACCUGUUGCAAGCAUACUGCUGACACUAAUUAAUACAGCUGUCCUACAAUGUCAAGCUUGGGACGGGAAUUGCAGGAAGGGGGAUAUUACAAGUGGGCAAGACUCCAGUUUAAAAUUUUCAGUAUCUAUAAAGAUAAAGAUUCAUAUGAGAAGUUACAACUUUGGUUUUACUGUCAAUUGUUUUGGGGAAAGGCAGGGUUAUUUUUUGUUUUAAUUGUAUCUAAUUGUUUUUGUUUAUUUUCAAUAACACAUUGGUUGGAAGUUAGAUUUGUAUGGAGAGAAGAAUCCCAUGAACUACAGCCCAUAUUUAUAGCUUUGAAGAGCAAUUUCUCUGCUGCCCUGCGCUGCUGCAGCAGGAUUAUUAUACCUGCAUCAGCUGGUAUUACACACUGAUGAGUAACAGCUCUUUGGUGCAUUAACCUUAACUCCAGGACAUUCAUGAAAACAAUUUUGGGUUGUCAGAUCCUACCAGAAGCAUUACAACUGUAAUCUAUAUUAUAGCUGGUAUUCAAUAUUUUAUUAGAAUGGAAGAUGGUAUAUUUUAUCACUCUAAAAUGAAUAAUUUUUGCAAUUCAAUGUUUGAAUCAUUAAACAAUGUUUCUAUAAACAGAGAUAUAUGUAUCCAAUAAAGAUCAUCAAACAUGGAGCUCUAUAGACACUCAAAUAUUUCAGUUUGGGGCAUAAAAUGUUUUAAAGCAAUAAAACUGAAAUCUAUGCUCUUUUUCUUUUUCCUCAAGGGAUUUUAAAGUUGUUUUUCCUUCCUGACUGCAAGUGUUUGAGGUUGAAAAGGUAACAUUUGGUCAAGCCAAAGACAAAAAGCAGGAGCAACCAAGCUUCAAACUCAUGGAUUAUGUGGGACCAUUUGCAUCAGUUUUUUAGUUUUCCAAUAAUUUUAUUCAUCAAAACUUAGGGGGAAAAAAAGCCAUACUAACAUUUAGAGGCUUUUUGGUUACAAGUUUGGGUUAAGCUACUACAAAAUGGAAUAUUACUUAACUAUCUGAAAGCUUCCAGGUUGACAAAAUUAGUUCUGCAAUAUUGAGAAAUACAGGGAAUGUAUUUCUAUGUCAAAAAUCCACAGGAAUUGUAGAUGAUUCACAAUGUCACAGGACUUGGAUUGAAAUUACAUUACGAAAAGCAGAAGGGAAAAAGUGAGUUUUUUCACAUCUACAGCUGCUGUAAUAUUAUUGUGGAAAGAACUAGACAUACAGAAGAAGAUUGCUGAAAGACCACAUGUUGAAGUCCCUUUUAAAUUCAUGCCACAAUAGCUUCUGCCAAGACUCUCUUGGAAAGCAGCAGAAGUUCCCUAUGGUGACCGCAAAUAGGAUGCAAGAUGAAAAAAAAUUAUUUGAUAAUACCAUGAGCAAAACAUAAAUAAAACUCAAAUAUGUUGUUUCUUUUAUAUGUCACAAGGUCUUUAAUAUUCACAGGAAGUUGCUUUGGCAUUCAGGACUCUCAUUUCCAUUCAGGGGAAAGUGAAGAAAUCAGAGCAAUUUCAUAAAUAAAAAUACUGUUCUAUGUGAGGGAGAGGUGCAAGUGAUGCAUUCAAAAGGUCAUCCAAAGUGGAGGUUAAGACCUUGAAAGUGAAUGUGCCACAGACCUCUGUGAAGGUCAAAUUCUGCUUAUUAUCCUGAUUCACAGCUUCAAAGUUCAGAAACAUAAACAUCUAAAUUCAGACAUGCCUGCUUGACAAUGAUCUGCUUUCCAGAGGUCCUGGUGACCCAAUUUAGCCAAUACUACAAGGUAAUAGUUUGCUCUGGUAAAGUAUUUUUCUCUGUGUGUGGCAUCUGUCUCAUAUUUGCUUGCUGAGGUGGUGACAGUGCCAGAAAUUUCUCCUCUACCUAUCCACAGAUAAUCCUUUAAAACAUUGAUACAAUGGAUUGUCUAAGACUUCCUUGAGUUGGUUUUCCAAAGGCUUAACAGAUUUCAUGGCAUUUUGCACUGAAGACACUACCACUUAUCUGUAGAAAACAGAAGAAAGCUGGGAUGAACAUUACACUUACAGUGUCUAAAAACUGAUAGAGUGAGCAAAGAAAUCAAGUUAUUUUAUAUGUUAAGUAUACAUGCCAAAGUUGUGUAUCAAAUGGUAUCAAAGAUUUGGAAUCCUAAAUCACCUCCACCUGAAGGAUGAAACUGCUGUAAUUUGUAUUUGGAAAAACCCAGUGAGAUUAACUACUUGUGGAUCUCAUGGCCAGUAGCAGAGACAGCUUCAUUAUUUCAUUCCUCAGGCUGUGAAUUUCACUGUGUUUGCCUGAACACCUCAACAGCCCAGAUCAUAUCCUUUCCAUUUGCAGACUUUUUCCCUAGCAGAGAAAGCAUUAAAACCUGAACCCUGGGAAGAGUCUUGCUCCUGGCUGUGAGUGGAAAUGUGGGAGACAAGGUAUCCAUUGAGGCUGUUCUGCUCCUGGGACCCUCACUGGGGUGUUUGGGACAGAACCUCACAGUACAGCAUCACACACUUCCCUUUCCUGGGUUGUUUCCUCUGUCUGAUUGCCCCUCACAGAAAAGCAAAAGGUUUCUCUAGCUAUUUUGUUAUAAAUGGCAGUUGAAAACUUAUUUGAUUAUUUUAUUUAGCAGUACAAAUUUCUAAUUAUACACAACAUGCCAGAGCUUUGCAGAUACUGUGAGUAGUUUUGUUGGUUUGUUAUCCUGCUUUUAUUUUCUGUUGCUAUCAUUGCAGAAUCACCCUUUCAGAGACUUUAUCUGUCUUAAUAUGUAUUGAAAUUAAAUGCUCUCAGUGUAAAAUUUCCCUCUGGAACCAAAAUACAAAUUCAUGCUGGUUACAGUGGAGGCAAUUCCAGUGACUUCAGUGAUCCUGUAUGCAUUUGUGGGAGCUCAAAAUAAAUCUGGCCCAUUAACAUCAGGAGCAAUAUAAUUUUAAUUUCUACAGAGCUGCUUUUCACCCAGAUGUUUUUUGGGAUGGUUUAUAUAUUUGCUUAUGGUCUAAAUGUAAUUGUACAUGUUGCUGUGGUUUUGCUGUAUAAUCUUGGGCAAAUCCACACUGAUUCCCCAAGCUUUGUUUUGUUCUUUUUAUUUCUUUACUGCGCAGGGUGGUGAAGAGAGAAAUUGUUUUACAAAUUGUGAAUAAUUCCUUGAGGGAGGUCAUGCAAAUUCUUUAAAUAUGUUAUGACUUUUGUAACAGCAAUGUAUAAUUUACACUAAUGGUAUGUAUUACUAACCUCUUCCAUACAGAAACACAACUAAAUCCCACAGCAUUCCACAAUGGAACACAGCCGUGCUUUCAGAUUAAUGGAAAUGUUAUCAGUGUCAAACAAUUACAUUAAUUCUAUAUAUUUUGCCAGUUUAUUUCAAAGAUUAAGCAGAAGUGGUAGUGUGAGGCUAAAUUGCUCUGGAACUUCAGGUGACUUUGCACCCAAGGUUGAAAACUGAUUUAAACUUUGCAACUGCCCCUGCCUUAACAACCAGUCAAAGGGAAAUGCCAGAUCCGCUUUCACCUCUCCCCCCAUACAAUUGUACACCUCAGUACCAGGCAGGAAACUUGCAAGCAUUUUUUAAUUGUUUAUGUGAGGAAAUCUUGUCCAAAAUAUUUUUUCUCCUUCAUGCAUUAUGCUUUUGGAACUCCUUAGUGUUUACAUUGUCAUCCUGAGCAUGAUAUUCCAGAAGAAUGAUAUCAUUAUUUAUACUUUGCCUUCAGAAAUCUGUUUAAUAUAAUUGUGACUUUUUCAGUUUAAGGUAAACAUCAGCAUUUGAUGAAAGCUCAGUCCUUUACCUCCUCCCUUGGUAGCUGUUUGUUAAGGUCUGCUAUGGCGCAGCAGUCAAAUUAAGAAAGUGGUGUUAUUUCAACAAAGCCAGAGACCUUCUUUUGCUUGUAAAUAUUAGUACAUCCUGCAAGCACUGGUGAGUGCUGCCAGCCAUCCUGUCACUUAAACAGAGUCAAGACUGAUGGAGGCCAAGUUUCUGUCAAGAUCUGAAACUCAAUGCAUUAGCUCAGGAGCUCAGUGUAGGCAUGCAUACAUUUUUAUUUUCACAUCUACUCUUUUUAUGUCAACAAACUUUAUGGGUGCUGGUUUCUGUCACACUCCAAAAUAAUUAACCAUGAAAGAAACAUUUUAUUUAAUGUUUUAAGAAGUCAGGAUUUGGUAACAGACUAAAAAAAGCCAGAUCACGAGCUGACAUCACGUAAAACAGCCAAGUGGCAGGACAUUUAAUAGAUGGGUGGCCCAGAAAGCCACAGAAAAUGUAUAUAUGUAACACCUAAAUUAGGGCUAUCAUGAAGAUUCAGAUGUGUUACAGACACUCUUCCUUCACACAAAACAGGUAGGAUGAAAUACUGAAACCUCACGAAUCAACAAUAAGCAAAUGGUGAUUUACAAGUGUGUUACUGUGUACAUACUGUUGUUAAUGUAAGUGAUGGUUCAUAAAUAUGCUGCCAAGAAUUGGUGGGUUUGAUUAACUUUCUGUGAUCAGGGUGAGCAUGUUGAUUUUGCUGUAAAUAGCAAAAAAGAAUUUUAUAAUAUAAAUCUGGACAAAUUCCCUCUUUUAGGACUCCACUGUUUUCAGAUAUGUUCAGCUCACACAAUACUUUUUCUCAUGAUAUUCUACUCUCUUCUCAGUCCUCACUGUCCUCCUAACUUUUCUUCUUCCCUGCUCUUGGCUUUGCCCCUUGCACUACAUCAAAAGAACUCUAUCUCUCCAUCUACAGAAUAUUUCAUUUCUUCUCUUUGAUCUCUGAUGCUUUUCUUGUUGAUUGCUUUGCUUGUCCUAUUAAUUGGGAGCUUUCUUUGCUGUCUAUGCCUCCAUACAAAUUUAGCUAGCUGAAGAAAAAAUAAUUCUAGACAUAUAGAUCCUUCAGGAAUAAUUCAUAGAAAUAUCUGGUGGCCUAUGGACUCAAAAUCAGUUUAAAUCCACAGUCUUGAUUAUUCCUCUAUGUCUGUAACACCAUGAAAAUAAAAGGCCUGGAUUAAUCUAGACAUUUUAUUCUCAUAAAAAGUAUUUCUAAAUCCAGAAAAUACUAAUUUUUUUUUUUUUAUAGAAUACCAGGCUCUUUGAAGUAAGCUUGUGGCUAAAAAAUAAACCAUUUUUGAACACACAGCACACCCCUACUCCAGAAGACGGUCAGCUGAAUACCUGGCCUGGCUUGAAUAUUAGAUUGCAUUGAAAGAGGGAAAAAACUCCAUUCAUCUAAUGAAAAACCAUGUUUAAAAGGAAAGUGUUUUGAUGAUACAAGUUUUAGAACAGCUGCUGAUGCUCUGAGGUUUGAAUCACAGCAGCUUUGCUUAUCUGGUGACAUGCACAAUAUGGGCCAAAUAUCUCCAAACCACCAGGAAAGCCUGCCCUUACUUUUGAUGUUUAAUGCAACACAGAUAAAUAAAUUUGGAAAUAAUACAAUUGGAAAAACAAUAGGGAACUGAAAAUAGGGAUUUUUUUGUUUCCCAAGUCCUUUAAACAUGUAUGCAGGGGGUUCUGCUCAUGAUGUUGGGAGUGACCCAGGAAAAUUAGAGAGACCAGUCACAUGUUAAAGUUGAGCACACGCAGAAUUGUUUGCUAGAACAAGGCCUUAAUAACAAAGACUAAUAAAAAAAUAAUCCUCUCCCAUAUAUGGAGAAUUCCCCUGGGAUCUGCGACUCCCAGCUAUCCUUUUUAAAUUGCAUGAUUAACAGUGUGCUUCUAAUUACUAACUAAUCAAAUCAAGUCUUUCUGCACAUAAAUAGGAGUCUGGGACUUUUAAUAAGGUCUUCACUGCAUGAUUGCUCAUAGAAUAGCAAUUAGUUUGGUUUCUGCUCCCAUUGAUAAAAGUGGCAGUAGUGUGGAACAAAACUGAUUGUGUACCCACCAGGUCAUAAACAAAGUUUCUGGGAGGUGGCUUUGAUGAGGUGAGGGGGAAGGACUUGAAGGCCUCCAAUGAAGACAUGGGCUUUUACUUUCAUGUCAUUCUUUGAUUUGUCUUUUUUAAUGGCAUACCCAGAUGUGAUGCCUUCUGCUUUUAUAAAGCUAAAGGAAGUAUUUGCUUGACUGUUGUUAUCAACAAGGCAAGAAAUUGUGCCAGUGCCAUUCAGUGAGUGGCUAGAAUACAUGUCAAGAGUUACAAAAAAUAUCCAAAUGUUAAGUUUUUCCCUUAUGCAAUGAAACUAUAAUUCAGGAAUAUAACUAUCAUCAGAUAGACUUUGGAUAGUUUCCUCUAUAGUCCAUGUUUUUUUGACAGUCCAAUUAAUUUAAAUUUGCAAUGAAAAAACUUGGUUUUAUCUGCAAGGAAAAAACAGAAAAAACAGAAAGAACACUUUUUUUUUUUUUUUUCCUUGUCCUAUGCAGCUGAUCUCCCUUGAUUGAGAAAAAAACUUGAACAAAAGUUUGUUUAGCAAAUUAUUCUUACAAAAAAGCCUCAGAUCAACAAUCACUCCUCCUCAACAAUCACUCUUUGGAAAAAAAAAUAAGCCAUCACUAAGCUACCCUGAUUUUCUUAUUUCACAAAUGCUUCCUUGCUUUGUUUUUUUUUCUCCUCAUCUUCCUAUGACAAAUAUUCCACAGUAGGCAGAUUCCUGACCUGUAAUACCGAAUGCUGCUAAAAGAAACAUUGCUGUCAGAUGCCCGCAUCAAAUCCAAUAAGCCACAUCCAGCUUCAUGUUGACAGUUGCAUUUUUUUCCUAAUGCAUAUUUUAGCCAUGCUUGACCAUCAACCAUAUGGCAGGUUUGUCCUGUGGGUAAGUUUAUUAUUAACAGCUUGCAGCUGGAGGUACAAUAACUACAUGUAACUGUGACAUUGCACUAAUUGAUCAAGACAUCUCCAAAACAAGAUGCAGAAAGUGGCCUCAGCAAAGAGCUUCAGAAUAAUGAUUGGGGAACAUUAAGCAAACAAACACCUCUGUCAUGCACAAAGUAUCUUAAAAGCUAGGGGGUUCAGUAAAAGGAAUUAAUUUCAAACAAGCAUCUUUUGAUGAGAAAAAGACAUUAUUUAAGCCUGCCCACCAGAAGCUCAGACAAUUAAAUCACUGAAUCUGCUGGGUGCCUUUAGUCCAUGCUUUCUCUUCUAAUCCUGCUGUCAUAGCAGAGAGUGACUGAGGUUUAAGAGCAGCAUGUGUAACUUAAUCCAUCACUUCACAUUAAGGUCAGAGUGUUAGAUUUUUGAUGAGAGGGAGGAAAAGUGACCUUAUUAGGCAUUAGGUAGAAGUUAGCUGGCUACUGUUCAGAGGUAACUAGUAAAUAAACUGCAGAAUGUGAGUUGCUUUCCUUAUAUAUGUCUCCUGGUAAAUUUAUUUUUCAGAUGUUUUUUGCCAAGCUUGAUCAACUGAUUUUGAAUUGAAUGGAACAUAUAAUGAAUUCAGUGGUUUAGUGUUGUAUCUUUGUAAACUGAAGCUGUCAAACUUUAAAAAGUGCUCUCUAGUGUAUAGUACUUGUCAAACAACCUGCAGACUUCAAGGUUUAAAAGAGAAAGCUCUCCAAACUCCUAACUUAAUGAAGUUUAAGCAGGAAUGUAAAUUGUGUGUGAGGAAGAAAAUAUGAUGACUCCAUGCAAAGUAUCAGAUAACUAGCACUAGGCUUCAACUGGAGCAAAAAUUAAAAUUUCUUUUUUGGCGUGUCAAGGCUGCAAAGCGUAUUUUGCAAAUUCCUUGUCAGUUAAGCUGAUUGGAGAAAGCAUGAACAAAACAGUCUCACUUGGUGCUCUCUUGGCUUAAUGCUCGGAGGGAGGUGAACUGUAAUGACAGCAUGGUGAGUUUUUCAUGAAGAGCAUUUUGUGCACUGUGUCUAGGUCUUCACAAAUGCUGACAAAAUAGACUUCAGUUUGCACUUUGUGAUCCACUGUUUGCAGAUCCAUGGCAAACACAUUGUACAAGCAAGGCUUAUGGUUUGUGCACAAGCUGAUCCCUGUGAGUAGGCACCUGGCUAUUUCUGUUUGCAGUAGAAUAGGUGAAUUUAAUCACAUGGUGUCUUUUUCCUUCUCUAUUUGUAUGAUAUAACUCCUGUGAACAGCUGGAGGGCUGACUUGUUGGUUGUAAUUCUCCUGCAGAACAAUGGGAGAGCCUGAAUUUUGGUAUGGUCUUCCUGAAAUUAAAUUUCUGUGAGGAACAUCUCAGUUUGAAAGGGUCAUCACUGAUCUUAACAGAAGGGUGUAGCAUAAGAAUGCCUGCUCCCGAAAGAAGUUUCCAAUGCAGAUUAUGAUUUUCCCAUAAAGUACCUCUAAAGCUUUUCUGUGCAGACAUCUUCUAAGGGAAGGUGAAUUAUGAACAUGAUUAAAUUGCACACUGGAUGUUAUAGAUGUUAUAUAAGUAGAAGACGUCAGGAUGAUAAUUUAUUAUUAUUAAUAAUAAUAAUUUUCCCCUAGCAGAAAGUGAUUGUGUGAUCCAGCAGCUGUGAAUCUUAGUUGAUUUUGGUCUAUAGGUGCUUUUCAGCCUUGGGUGCCUCACUAGGGGCUGUGUGUACAUCUUUGAAUUAGUAAAUAUCCAAGUCUAAUGGAAGACAUCUGAGAUUUUGUAUGCAGUUAGUUUGCUAACAUCCUUGCAUACACUAUUUUUGUCUCAUGAACUUACACUAGGUCUGCACAAGCUUAGCUGGUGAAAUGUUUUUUCUUUAAAACCAGAGAAAAUAUUUCACAGGAGGAGAUAGACAAAUCUCUAAUCCAUAUAAUACCAGUCAACAGUCUCACGAAAGACAGGGCAAGGAAAAUUCUUAUGUAUUUUUCUGCAUGGGAGGAAUAAAGUGCAAUA